UACGAAGGGGGCUAGCGUUGUUCGGAAUCACUGGGCGUAAAGCGCACGUAGGCGGAUGUGCCAGUCAGGGGUGAAAUCCCGGAGCUCAACUCCGGAACUGCCUCUGAUACAGCACGUCUUGAGUUCGAGAGAGGUGGGUGGAAUUCCUAGUGUAGAGGUGAAAUUCGUAGAUAUUAGGAAGAACACCGGUGGCGAAGGCGGCCCACUAGCUCGAUACUGACGCUGAGGUGCGAAAGCGUGGGGAGCAAACAGG
RNAcentral lists this ribosomal RNA (253 nucleotides) under uncultured bacterium. Its description in RNAcentral is "partial 16S ribosomal RNA". It matches the Rfam family "Bacterial small subunit ribosomal RNA", at positions 524 to 776 of the family's 1533-position model. The record is from RNAcentral.